RNAcentral lists this ribosomal RNA (1313 nucleotides) under bacterium. RNAcentral describes it as "bacterial SSU rRNA". It matches the Rfam family "Bacterial small subunit ribosomal RNA", at positions 115 to 1441 of the family's 1533-position model. The record is from RNAcentral.
ACGUGAGUAACCUGCCCUUGACUCUGGGAUAAGCCUGGGAAACUGGGUCUAAUACCGGAUAUGACUCCUCAUCGCAUGGUGGGGGGUGGAAAGCUUUUGUGGUUUUGGAUGGACUCGCGGCCUAUCAGCUUGUUGGUGGGGUAAUGGCCUACCAAGGCGACGACGGGUAGCCGGCCUGAGAGGGUGACCGGCCACACUGGGACUGAGACACGGCCCAGACUCCUACGGGAGGCAGCAGUGGGGAAUAUUGCACAAUGGGCGCAAGCCUGAUGCAGCGACGCCGCGUGAGGGAUGACGGCCUUCGGGUUGUAAACCUCUUUCAGUAGGGAAGAAGCGUAAGUGACGGUACCUGCAGAAGAAGCGCCGGCUAACUACGUGCCAGCAGCCGCGGUAAUACGUAGGGCGCAAGCGUUAUCCGGAAUUAUUGGGCGUAAAGAGCUCGUAGGCGGUUUGUCGCGUCUGCUGUGAAAGACCGGGGCUCAACUCCGGUUCUGCAGUGGGUACGGGCAGACUAGAGUGCAGUAGGGGAGACUGGAAUUCCUGGUGUAGCGGUGAAAUGCGCAGAUAUCAGGAGGAACACCGAUGGCGAAGGCAGGUCUCUGGGCUGUAACUGACGCUGAGGAGCGAAAGCAUGGGGAGCGAACAGGAUUAGAUACCCUGGUAGUCCAUGCCGUAAACGUUGGGCACUAGGUGUGGGGGACAUUCCACGUUUUCCGCGCCGUAGCUAACGCAUUAAGUGCCCCGCCUGGGGAGUACGGCCGCAAGGCUAAAACUCAAAGGAAUUGACGGGGGCCCGCACAAGCGGCGGAGCAUGCGGAUUAAUUCGAUGCAACGCGAAGAACCUUACCAAGGCUUGACAUGAACCGGAAAGACCUGGAAACAGGUGCCCCGCUUGCGGUCGGUUUACAGGUGGUGCAUGGUUGUCGUCAGCUCGUGUCGUGAGAUGUUGGGUUAAGUCCCGCAACGAGCGCAACCCUCGUUCUAUGUUGCCAGCGGUUCGGCCGGGGACUCAUAGGAGACUGCCGGGGUCAACUCGGAGGAAGGUGGGGACGACGUCAAAUCAUCAUGCCCCUUAUGUCUUGGGCUUCACGCAUGCUACAAUGGCCGGUACAAAGGGUUGCGAUACUGUGAGGUGGAGCUAAUCCCAAAAAGCCGGUCUCAGUUCGGAUUGGGGUCUGCAACUCGACCCCAUGAAGUCGGAGUCGCUAGUAAUCGCAGAUCAGCAACGCUGCGGUGAAUACGUUCCCGGGCCUUGUACACACCGCCCGUCAAGUCACGAAAGUUGGUAACACCCGAAGCCGGUGGCCUAACCC